Molecule: small nucleolar RNA, 126 nt
Organism: Apodemus sylvaticus (European woodmouse)
Lineage: Eukaryota; Metazoa; Chordata; Mammalia; Rodentia; Muridae
Product: small nucleolar RNA SNORD22
Exons: 1
Source: RefSeq, a predicted model, not a curated record
CUCCAGAAAAGGGAUGUUCACAAACCUUACUUCCUGUCCCAGGCCCAGAGCCCCAAAACAUGGACUUACUGGGGCUGGCUGCUAUGGAAGAGAAAAGUCUGUUUCAGAACGAGCUACCUGAGGGCU